GACGAACGCUGGCGGCGUGCUUAACACAUGCAAGUCGAACGGAAAGGCCCUGCUUUUGUGGUGUGCUCGAGUGGCGAACGGGUGAGUAACACGUGAGUAACCUGCCCUUGACUUUGGGAUAACUUCAGGAAACUGGGGCUAAUACCGGAUAGGAGCUCCUGCUGCAUGGUGGGGGUUGGAAAGUUUCGGCUGUUGGGGAUGGACUCGCGGCUUAUCAGCUUGUUGGUGGGGUAGUGGCUUACCAAGGCUUUGACGGGUAGCCGGCCUGAGAGGGUGACCGGCCACAUUAGGACUGAGAUAGGGCCCAGACGACUACGGGGGGCAGCAGUGGGGAAUAUUGCACAAUGGGCGGAAGCCUGAUGCAGCAACGCCGCGUGCGGGAUGACGGCCUUCGGGUUGUAAACCGCUUUCGCCUGUGACGCAGCGUGAGUGACGGUAAUGGGUAAAGAAGCACCGGCUAACUACGUG
This 468-nucleotide ribosomal RNA is filed under the name uncultured bacterium. Its description in RNAcentral is "partial 16S ribosomal RNA". It matches the Rfam family "Bacterial small subunit ribosomal RNA", at positions 28 to 507 of the family's 1533-position model. The record is from RNAcentral.